This is a long non-coding RNA of Gallus gallus (chicken), 2931 nucleotides long. The record is from Ensembl. Lineage: Eukaryota; Metazoa; Chordata; Aves; Galliformes; Phasianidae.
CUGUCAUUUGAAUUAAUGGGAAACAUGAAAUAACAGCAAUACGGUUUGCUUCCUUAGCUGUUUUGCUGCUUUACUUGUGCACACUUCUAUUGCAUUUACAUAUUAAGAAAGGGGAACUUCAGUGGGAGGAAGAUAGUUUCCAAACAAAACGAGGAAAGAAGGAGAAAUGAGGAUUGUGUCACAAAUGGAGUCUAAAGCACUUCACUCACAAAAGGAAGGUAAAAAUGUACUUAGUGAUAUAAAAUAGGCAUCAUCACAUCCUGUGAUGAUGUUGAGUAACCUCAAGCAGUGACCCUACUCAAGGGGAGAUUCUAGUGUAUGGGCAGCUGCUUGCAAGGGCAACACUCAAAAUGGUUCUUAGGCUGCUUGCUAUUUGUGGGAUACAAUGAUUGACUCAUAGUCAUACAAUGUUUGCACCUCACUAUAUGCACUAGGCUUUUAGUGUAAGACCAGGCUGGGUGGGGGGAAGAGUGCACCAGCACAGAGGGUUAAGGGCUUAUGAAUAUAGAGAAAGAAAGGGAAAAUGCUAGCAUUGUGUCAUGGUGACUGCAUGUAUGAAGCAAUGCUUAUCAGAGCUGUAUUUAAGCAGUUUGAGAUGACUGUGUACAGUGUUUCUCCACAUACAAUCACAGAACUGUUCUCAGCUGAACUCUGAAGCACAGGGUGUUCACUCCUGCAUCCCAUCUAGACUUGGUCUGGCACUUAAGGCUCAUUCCCAGUGUGCCCACAGUAGCUUUCUCCCUAGAGGCAAGUGUGCUUCCAGUUGGAACAAGAGAUGGAACAGAAGAGCAGUGUCUGAGGAGUCCCAAAGGGAACAUUCAUACGGGAUUGAUCUUGUCAUUUCAGUCUUCUUGCUCUUUAUUGAAAGAAAGGAUAAAAAACCCCUUGCAUCCACACUCUUGCAAGAGAACAUCUUUCUGAAAAGGACCACAGAACACUGGCAACUGCUGAGAGAAAGCAUUAGUAGAAAGAAACAGAGUGAUUGUAAGAGGAACAGAGAAAAUAAUCUACUUACUAAUGUACACAGGAUGAACUACGGAAAGUUCAUGCAAGGAAGAAAAAAGUAAAAAACAAACAUGAAGAGCUAUACUUGCUUGUUUUUUGGUGAGAAAAAGGACAAAUGGAGAGGUGGUCUGUAAAAACAUAAUAAAUAGCAACUGCAGUUUCCCCAGUGUUUUUUUAUUUUGUCUGGAAUUACUUACAUGAGAUGAUCAUCAAUGUUAUUUGUUGAGGAAGCAUCUUCCAGUGUCCUGGUGGAUGAAAAGAUGAACAUGAGCCAGCAUUAUGAUCUUGCCGCCCUGAAGGUCGACUGUAUCCUUGUCUGCAUCAGAAGAGGGGUGGCCAGCAGGGAAACAAAGGUGAUUGUCCUCUUCUACUCUGCCUUUGUGAUACCCCCAUGUGGAUUACUUCAUUGCUGCCUUUGAGUAUUUGAAGAGAACUUACAAAGAGGAGAGAGACUGACUUCUUACGUGGUCUGAUAAUGUUGGGGGAGCUUAUCAAUGUUUAUAAAUGUAUAAAGGGUGGGUGUCAAAUAGAUGGAGUCAGGCUUUUUCCAGUGGUUCCCAGCAACAAGACAAGGGGCAAUAGGCACAAGCUAGAACAUAGGAAGUUCCAUACAAAUGUGUGGAAAAGCUUCAUUACAUUGUGGGUGUCAGAGCACUGAAACGUUGCCCACAGAGGCUGUGAAGUCUCCUUCUCCAAAGUUAUUCAUCUGGACACUUUCCUGUGCAACCUGAUGUAGGGAACUGCUUAAGGUGGGGGCUGGAAUGGAUGAGUUCCAACAGGUCCCUUGAGCCCCUACAAUUCUGUGAUUCUGCAAUUCUGUGACUUUCAACCUUUCAUCCAUUCAACACAUUGGAUCCUGAAGGUUUUGUUUAUAAUUAUUUUUUUUUCAUUAGAAGACUUGUAAGUAUUUUGAAUGUUAACAAGUAUAGAUGGUCUUAUGCAUGGCAAAACUUAAUACUUUAGCCCUUAUCAUAAAAUUAGGAAAUAUUUGCUGUUCUGAUUUCUGUUUUCCUUAUGAAUCACCUUAUAUUCUCUACUUGCAAUAACUCAGUAAGUAAGACAUUUGAUUCUGCUGUUAACAAUAGGGCUUAAAGGGUGCAUCUCUGCUUUUUUAACUGGUACAAGAUACAGGGCUUGAUACAACAUUCAUUAUAUAGUUUUUCUGAUUUCAGUAGAUUUUGGAGCCUGCCUUAAGUGAGCUUUACAUUUCUGAUUCACUCAGGAAAUUAGCCCCCAAACCUCAUGACAAGACAUGACCUCAUCCUUAUAAAGAAGAUUGGACGAUUUGUUCCAGUAAUGGGUAUAAUGGCAAAAAGCCAAGGAGGAUGGGGAUGUGUGUAAAAAUCUUGUCUGUUAUUUCUGUCAACCCAGGAAUAAUGUAAGCUUUGUACAACAUACAAGGCAUCACUAAGAACCUUUGCGUAAGUUGUUAAAGAUGAACUCUGCCCCCUGCAAUACUCAGACAAUUCUUACUGAGAUCAGUAAGUCUGGUCCAUGUGUGUCUGAAUUUAAAAUUUCUUCUAGACAAUAUUGUUUUGUAAUGAUUUCUUUCCAGUGAAUGCUCUCUCAAAUUAUUUCCCUUUCAGCUGAUUGAAUGAGAUGAUUUUUCCUUAGUUCUUCCUUAUUGUUACUUCAGUUUCUCAAGUGAAGUUUCAGAUAGUGAGCUCUUUCAGACCCUUCCACUUUGGGUCAAGUGCUGUCUUUUACUAUUCAUUUCGUGCUCAGAGGUGUAUUCUUAGACCCACAGUGUUAAGUAUUCUUAAUGUUAAAAAAAAGGCAAAUCGUUAUAACAUGAGGGUUUUGUCAAUAAAAUACAUCUGUGGGUAAGAACCGGGUACCUUCUGAUUCAUUUAGAAGCCUUCACUCUACUUUGUUAUACUCAGCCUAAAGUCACAGACUUCCCAUUUACAGAUACUGAUCACCAAC